This is a long non-coding RNA of Physcomitrium patens, 2319 nucleotides long. RefSeq lists it as uncharacterized. NCBI's taxonomy places the organism in Eukaryota, Viridiplantae, Streptophyta, Bryopsida, Funariales, Funariaceae. The record is from RefSeq and is a predicted model, not a curated record.
UUGUAAAAGUUAAGGUAACAGCUUAUGUCGAUUUGAGUCCAAAUAUUUAAAAAGAUAUAUUCACGCAAACAGCGUCUCUAUUCAAAAUUGGAUGUUAAAAUAGAAAACAACUAAUUACAUAUGAAAUAGCUAAUUUUGUACUAAAAAUCUAUACCUACGUCUACGAGCUUUUUCUUAGCCCAUCUACCAUGCUUGCUCAUUUUCUUGUCAACCAUUUGUAAAACACGUUUCUAAUUCUGAUGCUAUACUUCAGUUUGAUUGUAGAAUCUUUAUCUUGAUGUUGAUGAAACCGACACAAUCUCUCUCUCUUACAACAUUCAAUUUGUUAAAAACUCAAUUCAGAUCCACGUUCUUAGUAAAUUGGAUGUUAUUAGAGAGAUUGAUGUCCCCGAUCGGAACUUUCUGGCUGCUCCAGAUGAUGAGCAUGGGCCCAAAGCUUCGUUUGAUCGACGCUUAUACAACGUGAGUGCAGCAGAGCCAUGUCGAUGGCGAGGUGGGUUUCGGCGCUGGCGAGAACGAGAUGCGUGCAGAUGGCUCGAAAUUCGACUGUUACUACUUGAGGGACGUUGGCAACUUGGUGGGAUAAGUAGCCGUUGCGCAUUGUGAUUGUCAGCUUCUCUAACGUGUUACCGAUGAGGAGUCUCUGACCGGCAGGGUUGUCCUUGUCCGCGUCCACAUUGAAUUUUGCUUGUAUGUGAGGCACAUGAUAUUGGCAGCAGAAUAGGGUUUCAGGACAUCUCUGCAGAGGCUACUUUGAUGCUCUCUGGUUGCGAGGCGCGUGUCGUUGAAGAGCUGAUGAUCAGAUUACAGUGGCGUUGUCUGGGUUCGAGUGCUGAGGAAGAUGUGUAAGAAUUUGCUGCUAGUCGUAGCGAUAGCAACUACUCAUUAAGGUUGGUUAUGGGUCCCUUGCGGAUGCCCGAACAGAACUAUAGUGGCCAACCCUAACGUAUUUCAACCGAUUUCGAGCCAUGCAGGUAAGGAGUUGUGGAUGCUGGCAAUUGGUCUGUUGCAACUCUUAAUUCGGUUUAAAAUCCCGCCAAAAGAAGCCUGGGACGGUUAUGUACUGAGCUCUCAAUGAUAGCUAAAGACGAUUGCUGCUCAGUUUGGUUACUUCACACAAUCGAACGAAGAUAGUUCGGCAAUAACAGCUCAGAGAAACCGAUUUGUCUCCUGGCUGGAGACAGGCUACUUCCCCGAACUCCAAAUGAUCAUAUAAUUCCAGCUUCCUGGGGUAUUAUAUGAUACAAGGUGUUUGUCAUGUCUCGACUCCAAGAAGGAGAAGAAGAAAGAGAAUAACAGCGAAGGUUGAUAAUUACUGACAACUGCUCAAAGAUUUGGACGCUGGAACAAAUGUUCUGCUUGUGUGAACAAAAGAUGUGAAGAUUCCAGGCCCUUGUCUCCGCGACAGGAUUCAAUACAGCGCCUGGAUUCAUCUAGAAACUUCACUCGCACAGAGUUCUCUGGCCGGAAUCCUUUCAUUAGGCCCUCUUGAAGUACAUAAACAUCAAGAUUCAAGACUGAUACUCAUGCUAACAAUCCAACUCCAAAAAUCCACACGCAUACACCCAAGAACAUGCUGACUUGAAGCUUAUGAUGCACAAGCUCCUGAUCAAGCUCGAUAAGUUAUCGGAUAAGGAAGCCUAUGGAUAACUUUAGCCAAACCUUGCGAGCAGAUCAGUUUCACAGGAUCCAGAGAAGUGUCGAUUUCACGUGUGAUGUGCAAGCUACGCAGUCUCGCUACCCUAACCCUACUGCCCAGUGAUUGCAGUCGCACUCGCGCUAGGUGGUAGCUCCUGCUUACCAAGGAUAUGCUCUUCGCCAUCGCUGGAUAAGCCUCAUAUCGCACAGCUACAAACAUCAAGCAAAGUAUAGCACAACUACUGAAGUAAUGCCCGUAACCUGAGAGCCUCCUUGCAUGCUAUAGAAUACGCAAAGUAUUCUGCCUCUGUAGAUGAAGUCGCCGUGAGAGUUUGCCUAAUUGAUUUCCAAGAAAACUAGUCCUCCCGCAAGGUUAAGAGAUACCGAUUAGUCAAUUUCUUAUCCUGAUGAUCCUGUUGGAAAUGAACAAAGCACCUUUCUUCUCUCUGUGUUAUAUUCAUCAGGAGGUAUGAAUGGACAGAGUUCGUCUAUAUAGCGAGGACAAACUUCAGUAAACGAAAGUCUAACUGCACUGAAAAACCAUUAGAGCCACUACGAGGCAGUACAUUGAAUCGCAAUUGCGUAUAAGCGAGAACUUGUAUCUUCUCGAAAUAAAGCUUAUUGUUUACAUGGUGUCAGAGCGAAUCUUGAGUCCUGACGGGAGGCCAGGUUCUGCGAGCU